CCUACGGGAGGCAGCAGUGAGGAAUAUUGGACAAUGGGCGCGAGCCGGAAGCAGCCAAGUAGCGGGAAGGAUGACUGCCCUACGGGUUGUAAACUUCUUUUAUAAAGGAAUAAAGUGCGGCACGUGUGCCUUUUUGUAUGUACUUUAUGAAUAAGGAUCGGCUAACUCCGUGCCAGCAGCCGCGGUAAUACGGAGGAUCCGAGCGUUAUCCGGAUUUAUUGGGUUUAAAGGGAGCGUAGAUGGGUUGUUAAGUCAGUUGUGAAAGUUUGCGGCUCAACCGUAAAAUUGCAAUUGAUACUGGCAGUCUUGAGUACAGUUGAGGUAGGCGGAAUUCGUGGUGUAGCGGUGAAAUGCUUAGAUAUCACGAAGAACUCCGAUUGCGAAGGCAGCUUACUAAACUGCCACUGACGUUGAUGCUCGAAAGUGUGGGUAUCAAACAGGAUUAGAUACCCGGGUAGUC
RNAcentral lists this ribosomal RNA (460 nucleotides) under uncultured bacterium. RNAcentral describes it as "partial 16S ribosomal RNA". It matches the Rfam family "Bacterial small subunit ribosomal RNA", at positions 338 to 795 of the family's 1533-position model. The record is from RNAcentral.